CCUACGGGCGGCAGCAGUGAGGAAUAUUGGUCAAUGGGCUUACGCCUGAACCAGCCAAGUCGCGUGAGGGAAGACUGCCCUAUGGGUUGUAAACCUCUUUUGUCAGGGAGCAACGCCGGCUACGUGUAGCCGGACUGAGAGUACCUGAAGAAAAAGCAUCGGCUAACUCCGUGCCAGCAGCCGCGGUAAUACGGAGGAUGCGAGCGUUAUCCGGAUUGAUUGGGUUUAAAGGGUGCGUAGGCGGAAUGCCAAGUCAGCGGUAAAAUCGCGGGGCUCAACCUCGCUCCGCCGUUGAAACUGGCGUUCUUGAGUGGGCGAGAAGCAUGCGGAAUGCGUGGUGUAGCGGUGAAAUGCAUAGAUAUCACGCAGAACUCCGAUUGCGAAGGCAGCAUACCGGCGCCCAACUGACGCUGAAGCACGAAAGCGUGGGUAUCGAACAGGAUUAGAUACCCGGGUAGUC
Molecule: ribosomal RNA, 460 nt
Filed under: uncultured bacterium
Lineage: Bacteria
Description: partial 16S ribosomal RNA
Rfam family: Bacterial small subunit ribosomal RNA
Source: RNAcentral